This 685-nucleotide long non-coding RNA is filed under the name Nicotiana benthamiana. RNAcentral describes it as "long non-coding RNA (NBEN_LNC015635)". Lineage: Eukaryota; Viridiplantae; Streptophyta; Magnoliopsida; Solanales; Solanaceae. The record is from RNAcentral.
CCUCGAGUGGCAGAACUCCAAGAACUAGUUCGCCCUAACUGAAAAGUUGACCUGGACUGCCUUAUUAACCCUUUUCUCAAUUUCUUAUUCUUUGACACAAGAGCUAGAGAAUGUCUCAAAUCUUUAAUCAUCUCAUUAGCAAUUGGGGCACCACAAUCUUUCAUCGACCUGAUCAUGGUGAUAGAAUCCUCUGAAUCUUCCGUGUGCAAAGUCACUUCACAAGAUUUUUCCUCAACAUUGUUCUUGAGAUUGAUAAGGUUGGGAGCUGCACUCUGAGUAUGAUGUUGAAUGUAGAAAAGACCCAUGGAGGGCUCAUUUGCGAUCAACUUUAUCAAGUGGCAGGACUCCAUGAACUAGUUCGCCCUAACUGAAAAGUUGACCUGGACUGCCUUAUUAACCCUUUUCUCAAUUGCUUAUUCUUCGACACAACAGCUAGAGAAUGUCUCAGAUCUUUAAUCAUCUCAUUAGCAAUUGGGGCACCACAAUCUUUCAUCGACCUGAUCAUGGUGAUAGAAUCCUCUGAAUUUUCAGUGUGCAAAGUCACUUCACGAGAUUUUUCCUCAAUAUUGUUCUUGAGAUUGAUGAGGUUGGGAGCUGCACUCUGAGUAUGAUGUUGAAUGUAGAAAAUACCCAUGGAGGGCUCAUUUGCGAUCAACUUUAUCAUGUCUGCCAGGGAUUCAGUUAU